UGGAUGGACCCGCGGCGUAUUAGCUAGUUGGUGAGGUAAAGGCUCACCAAGGCAGUGAUACGUAGCCGACCUGAGAGGGUAAUCGGCCACAUUGGGACUGAGACACGGCCCAGACUCCUACGGGAGGCAGCAGUAGGGAAUCUUCCACAAUGGACGCAAGUCUGAUGGAGCAACGCCGCGUGAGUGAAGAAGGGUUUCGGCUCGUAAAGCUCUGUUGUUAAAGAAGAACGUGGGUAAGAGUAACUGUUUACCCAGUGACGGUAUUUAACCAGAAAGCCACGGCUAACUACGUGCCAGCAGCCGCGGUAAUACGUAGGUGGCAAGCGUUAUCCGGAUUUAUUGGGCGUAAAGCGAGCGCAGGCGGUCUUUUAAGUCUAAUGUGAAAGCCUUCGGCUCAACCGAAGAAGUGCAUUGGAAACUGGGAGACUUGAGUGCAGAAGAGGACAGUGGAACUCCAUGUGUAGCGGUGAAAUGCGUAGAUAUAUGGAAGAACACCAGUGGCGAAGGCGGCUGUCUGGUCUGCAACUGACGCUGAG
This 536-nucleotide ribosomal RNA is filed under the name Pediococcus pentosaceus. Its description in RNAcentral is "bacterial SSU rRNA". It matches the Rfam family "Bacterial small subunit ribosomal RNA", at positions 222 to 750 of the family's 1533-position model. Lineage: Bacteria; Bacillati; Bacillota; Bacilli; Lactobacillales; Lactobacillaceae. The record is from RNAcentral.